This 546-nucleotide ribosomal RNA is filed under the name Salmonella enterica. RNAcentral's name for it is "partial 23S ribosomal RNA". It matches the Rfam family "Bacterial large subunit ribosomal RNA", at positions 711 to 1253 of the family's 2925-position model. The record is from RNAcentral. Lineage: Bacteria; Pseudomonadati; Pseudomonadota; Gammaproteobacteria; Enterobacterales; Enterobacteriaceae. RNAcentral also lists the same sequence under 1 other name.
AGACCCGAAACCCGGUGAUCUAGCCAUGGGCAGGUUGAAGGUUGGGUAACACUAACUGGAGGACCGAACCGACUAAUGUUGAAAAAUUAGCGGAUGACCUGUGGCUGGGGGUGAAAGGCCAAUCAAACCGGGAGAUAGCUGGUUCUCCCCGAAAGCUAUUUAGGUAGCGCCUCGUGAAUUCAUCUCCGGGGGUAGAGCACUGUUUCGGCUAGGGGGCCAUCCCGGCUUACCAACCCGAUGCAAACUGCGAAUACCGGAGAAUGUUAUCACGGGAGACACACGGCGGGUGCUAACGUCCGUCGUGAAGAGGGAAACAACCCAGACCGCCAGCUAAGGUCCCAAAGUCAUGGUUAAGUGGGAAACGAUGUGGGAAGGCCCAGACAGCCAGGAUGUUGGCUUAGAAGCAGCCAUCAUUUAAAGAAAGCGUAAUAGCUCACUGGUCGAGUCGGCCUGCGCGGAAGAUGUAACGGGGCUAAACCAUGCACCGAAGCUGCGGCAGCGACGCUUAUGCGUUGUUGGGUAGGGGAGCGUUCUGUAAGCCUGUGA